Molecule: ribosomal RNA, 324 nt
Filed under: uncultured eukaryote
Lineage: Eukaryota
Description: partial 18S ribosomal RNA
Rfam family: Eukaryotic small subunit ribosomal RNA
Source: RNAcentral
CCCUUAGAUGUUCUGGGCUGCACGCGCGCUACACUGAAGCUAUCAACACGUUUUCCCUCUCUGAGAAGGGCGGGUAACCUUUUGAAUCAGCUUCGUGGUAGGGAUCGGGGCUUGUAAUUGUUCCCCGUGAACCAGGAAUUCCUAGUAGACGCGAGUCAUAAGCUCGCAUCGAUUAAGUCCCUGCCCUUUGUACACACCGCCCGUCGCUACUACCGAUUGAACGUUUUAGUGAGGCAUUUGGACCGACGCAUCUCAGUUUAACCGCUGGUUUGUGUUGGAAAGACUUCCAAACUUGAGCGUUUAGAGGAAGUAAAAGUCGUAACA